AUGCUUGUUUCGGCAGCACAUAUACUAAAAUUGGAAUGAUACAGAGAAGAUUAACAUGGCCCCUGCACAAGAAUGAUGCACAAAUUCGUGAAGCCUUCCAAGCUCAG
Small nuclear RNA from Trichosurus vulpecula (common brushtail), 107 nucleotides. The record is from RefSeq and is a predicted model, not a curated record. Lineage: Eukaryota; Metazoa; Chordata; Mammalia; Diprotodontia; Phalangeridae.